Long non-coding RNA from Homo sapiens (human), 3610 nucleotides. NCBI's taxonomy places the organism in Eukaryota, Metazoa, Chordata, Mammalia, Primates, Hominidae. The record is from Ensembl.
ACAUUAGAAGCUCUGCAGAGGCAGAUAUUCAGAGCUUGUUCAUCCCCGUACCCCAAUGCCCAGGAACAGUGCCUGACACGUCCUAAGCACAUGAUAAAUAUCUGUUGAAUUAAAUCGAAUGUUAGGUGAAUGCUGAAGAACGAAGUUGGAUCUGCUAUUGUCCUCGCAUUCUCAUGGAUCUAAAGGCACCAGGGGCGUGAUGAGAGCUUAGCUGAAAGGAGAGAAGACUCAGCAAGCACAUCACCUUGAAGCUGACCUGUCAGCCAGAUUUCGCAGCACCUGCCUGUUCCAGCCUGAGGGGCUGCGAUUCAUUCCUUGGGAAAGAGAGCUGCAAAUUCCCGCUCUAGGCCACAGUCCAAAUCCUUGCUCUUCUCUCUCAGGUUCUGGAAGACAGAAUGGAGGCAUCUACAGAGCAAGGACAUGUUUUCUACCUGAAUUAGCUUUUCUGACACCUUCAAACCAUCUCUAAGAAAUUGAUUUUUUAACAUACACAUAUACAGGUAAACAUUUAAAUCUGUGCCAUAAUGUAUUUGCACUUCGAGUCCCCCUGAAGUCCUAAGUCACAUGCUUCUCUUCCUAGGGGUUCUGUCUGAAGCAGAGACCCCUGGAUUGGAGCAGUGGGAAGAAUCCUGAUGAAUCAGGUGUUCCUGCCUGUUUACAUUAACUGGGCACCCUGCCUGCCCACCCCACAUGCUGAAUACUGCUGGGGAGAAGAGAAGAAACAUUUAUUAAAGGCAAGGAAAAAUUAGAGCCUUUUCAUUGAGGUCAGAAGAUUUUUGAGGUUGGAUCGGCUGGCCAGGUGCAUGACCAAUUUUCUUGGCUCCUUAGAAGCAGCAAAGUAUUUGAAAAAUAAUGGAGCCCUUCGUCCUACAAGUAAAAGCCCAUUUAUAUUGGGAAUUUUUUAAAAAGUGCUGGCGAUGGAAAAUUUCCGAUGAGAUGCAUUUCUUCCUGCCUGAAUGUCUUGAAUGCCUGCUGGAUUUGUCUCCCUGCUAAGACACUCACACUUGCAAAUCUGUGCUUUUCAAGGUGGGGAGAUGAAAAUAAAAAGUCUGUGAGAUGUAUUUCUGGGAGGCCUGAAAACAGGAAGCAAAUUGGAACCACAGCAUGUGGGGCACGGAUGCUGGAUUCUGGGGGAUAUUUGCUUAUUUGGAAAGGCUGCAAACAUUCCAUCCUACCCACUGCUAGGAGCUCUGCACUUUGCUAACGUCCCAUGGAAACCAAGGUUCUCUUUAGGACUCGACAGGACUGGGUUAUUUUUCUCAGCUUAAAUUGUUUUUAUAUGGUUAUCCUCAGUACUCUUUUCUGUUUUGGGAUAUUUUCAUACUUUUUAUUUUUUAAAAACCCCAGAAUAUCUUGAUUUUGAAAAGGUACAUUCACCCAAAUAAAGUGCCCAGCGCAUAGACAAGGCUGCCUCAAUAUUUCACGUGUCAACAGCCAAUGCCCCCAGUACGUGCAGAAAAGCCUGAGAACAAGGAAGGAAGAAAAGGGUCUGGUCCUUGCUCUGCGGGUAUUUAAGCAUUUCUCAGCCCCCUCCUCUGACUUCUCAACUAUGUUCACCUAUAUGGCCUCGAAUGGAGAGAACUGGGGUUAUAAAAGAGGAUAUUAGCUAUGCCUGCUAUAGAAUGAGGAAGGCAUUUCAGGAUGUGCUUGGGGAGGAGAUGGAAUGAAUGGCAAAGGGGAUGUUUGUCCGUGAGGGUGGUCUGUGAUCUGUGGGUGGGGGAUGUCUGUGCAGCUCCCUUCAUGGCCUCUCAUGGCCCACACAGUAGGCAGUGUUUGCCACACACAGACCCUGGACAAAGUCACAGAGUGGUGUUGGUACCAUUUCAUAGGAGGGGUCCUAGGGGACAUUCUAGGAAGUUCUUCAUCAGCUUAGGACGGUGCAGCCUCUGCAGUCAUUAAACACAGUCUACCAGCCAGAGAAGCCCAAAAGCUGCUGCUCCUGCUGUUCUGCGUGGUGUGGGAAACUACGGCAUUGGCACAACUUUGGGAGCUCUCUUUGAUCUCUUGUUUGUCUGCAUUUCCCAUACUCUUCCAGUCACCAAGUGUCAUCAUUCUUCCCCAGGUUGUCUCUGUCUCCCUUCCUUUUCUGUCCCCAUGACUCUUACCUGUAUCCAAAACUAUGGCGUUUAAGGUGAAAGAGCCAGUCUGUAGGAGCUGCUUCGAGGAAAGUCUUGCAAGACUGCCUUCUUGAACUUGGUGCUCAAACUCCCCUCUGGCUUCACAACCUGCAUAGUUGCCUGGGUCAGAAACAGGUUCCUCAGGCAACUUGGUGUUGCAUUAACCAAGUGACACUGAUUGUCACUUGGAAGACACUCAGUGACUGACUAUUAGAGAUCAUCUGCCUCUCAUUUUGGGGAUGUGAAGGUUGAGACUCAGAGAGGUCAGGCAACAUGUCUGAGGUCACUGAGCCAACUAGCAGCAGCCCCAGAGUUGUCACCCAGAUUUCCCGACUCCCUAUUCAUUCCCCAAAACCUACCCAUGGGGAAUGUUCUGCCAGGCUGUUCUACAUCACCAGUAGAGAGAAGUUGCCUUGAGUAUUCGGUUUGGUUUUGAAGUUAACCUAUUCAGACACACUUGAGCAUGCAGUGAGUCACUGACUGGAUUCAUUCCCAGACCUAUGGACUCAGCGCAUCAGCUCACCAAGCCUCCUGCAUACUCUGCUUCUACGCUGGACAACUGUGCAUUUUGAGAAGCUGGAGGAAAUUGUUUGGCAUAGUGUUCUAGGCCAGCAGUCAUGCGAUACUGAGCUAGGCCUGGCUCCUAUAGGCUGGUGAAAGCCAAGUGUUAGCUGUUCAGGAUUUUUUUGAGUUGGUUAACUAUUGAUAGCUUCAAAGUCGCCAUGGCAGGGGUAUUUAUACCAUAGAAAUUGGUACAUGUUACAAAUUAGGGUUUCAUUUUUCACCAUCCAGAGAUCUGAUUUACUAACUCACUACUGAUUCUGAGGUAGGACCCCAGCUUAGGAAGGCACUUUCAGGCAAGACUGUUCUGCGGUAAUUAGGAAAUGGAGAGUGGCCCUGUCAGAUGCAAAGGAGAAUAUCAAAUUUGGAAAAAAGUACUGCCUAUUGCACAAGAGGUAAGAGUCACUGAGACAUCUUGCACCAGACCCAAGUGAGGGAUGGAAGGGGCCCUGAUGGUCAUCUUGGGACAGCUUCUUAGGGUCACCCAGGAGCCCAGGAGCCAGGUAUGCCACUCUGUGGUGGGACAGAAACCCCUGUAAAGAGCAAGCAGACACUCAGUCACCCAGGACCCUCCCCAACACUCCCAUUCCCUGCAAUCUAUCAGCACAUCCUAUCAAUCCCGUCUGGAGUAGAUAUCUGAUCACGCCUUCUCUCCCUUGUGACUGCCAUGACCCAAGUCCAGGUUCCUGCUACAUCCUUCCUAAAAGGCCUUCCCCUGCAAGCUUGCCUACCUCACAUCAACUCUCCCCACAUAGCUGCAAAAGUGGACGUCUGAGAAGAAGGGGGAGGAAGAGGAGAAGAAGGAAGAGAUGAAGAAGGCGAAGAUGAAGAAAAAGAAGAAGAGGAGGAAGAAGAAGAAGGAGGAAGAGGGGGAAAAGAGGAGGAGAUGAUGUUAUGUCAUCCCUUCACCCUUCCCCUGCACACACACACAC